Molecule: ribosomal RNA, 407 nt
Filed under: uncultured Mycobacterium sp.
Lineage: Bacteria; Bacillati; Actinomycetota; Actinomycetes; Mycobacteriales; Mycobacteriaceae
Description: bacterial SSU rRNA
Rfam family: Bacterial small subunit ribosomal RNA
Source: RNAcentral
UGGGGAAUAUUGCACAAUGGGCGCAAGCCUGAUGCAGCGACGCCGCGUGAGGGAUGACGGCCUUCGGGUUGUAAACCUCUUUCAACAGGGACGAAGCGCAAGUGACGGUACCUGUAGAAGAAGCACCGGCCAACUACGUGCCAGCAGCCGCGGUAAUACGUAGGGUGCAAGCGUUGUCCGGAAUUACUGGGCGUAAAGAGCUCGUAGGUGGUUUGUCGCGUUGUUCGUGAAAACCGGGGGCUUAACCCUCGGCGUGCGGGCGAUACGGGCAGACUUGAGUACUGCAGGGGAGACUGGAAUUCCUGGUGUAGCGGUGGAAUGCGCAGAUAUCAGGAGGAACACCGGUGGCGAAGGCGGGUCUCUGGGCAGUAACUGACGCUGAGGAGCGAAAGCGUGGGGAGCGAACA